This is a long non-coding RNA of Cyprinus carpio (common carp), 4600 nucleotides long. Lineage: Eukaryota; Metazoa; Chordata; Actinopteri; Cypriniformes; Cyprinidae. The record is from Ensembl.
CCAUAAAUAUCAAAUAUUACACAUGGAGCUAUCUAGACCUUGUUUGUUCUUUUAUCUGUUGGCCAUUUUGCUGUCACUGAGCAUCUCUUUGACCACAAACUCAGACCCCACCAAUGCAGAAACACUUCAGUGGAAGGGUGGAGAUGGUGUGAAAAGGUCACGAGUGAGAAGGCAGAACUUACACCUAAAACAUGCAUUACAUUUACCAGAAAAGGCUUAUACUUUCUAUAUGUUAUGGAGAAUUCUGAACGAAAUUUACAAUGAUACAGACACCAUCAAACCAUUAAUGACGAGGCCAGACAAACUGGAAUUUACAACACCAGAAGGGCCAAAGAACAUGGAGAUCGAGGUGAAACCAUCUUCACCUCGCAUACAGGAACAAAGCACUCAUUCCACUGGUAUGACUGGUACAAAUAACCCCACAGCUAUGCCAUCCUUCCCUACUCACUCAUUACCAGACUCACAGAAAACAACUCGAUUAGAAGAUUUACAACUAGUUGGACAAUCAACUCAGCGACUCCAGACCACAUUACAGCAAAUUACAGAAUUCAAUCAAGCUAUAGAGCAACAUAUCCCUGAUUCCACCACAUUUAAAAUUCCCACCACUGCAUCAGAAGAACCUUCUACAAUUGCCAUACAUGAACAAAUCGACCACUUCUCUGGCAUUAAUAGUAUAAAUAACUCUACAGCUAUAGCAUCCUUCCCCACUCACUCAUCAUUACCAGACUCACAGGAAACAACUCAAUCAGGAGAUUCACAACUAGCUGAAGAAUCAACUCAACGACUCCAGACCACAGUACAGAAAAUUACAGAACCCAGUGAAGUUACAGAGCAACACAUCCCUGAUUCCACAACAUUCACUAUCAAAAACUUCUCCAAAGCAUCAGAAGAACCUUCUUCAAUUGCCAUACACGAACAAAUCGACCACUUCUCUGGCAUUAAUAGUAUAAAUAACUCCACUGCUAAGUCUUCGUUCACCACUCACUCAUCAUUACCAGACGCACAGAAAACAUCAGAAUCAGCAGAUUCACAACUAGCUGAAGAAUCAACUCAACGACUCCAGACCACAAUACAGAAAAUUCCUUCCAUACAUGAACAAACCAACCACUUCACUGGUAGUAAUGGUACAAAAAACUCUACUGCUAUGGUGUCUCUCCCCACUCAAUCAUCAUUUCCAGACUCACAGGAAACAACUCAAUCAAGAGAUUCACAACCAGUUGAAGAAUCAACUCAACGACUCCAGACCACAAUACAGAAAAUUAUAGAACCCAACCAAGUGACAGAGCAACACAUCCCUGAUUCCACAACAUUCACUAUCAAAAACUUCUCCAAAGCAGCAGAAGAACCUUCUUCAAUUACCAUAAAUGAACAAAUCGACCACUUCACUAAUGGCAUAAAUAACUCUACAGCUAUGGCUUCCUUCCCCACUCACUCAUCAUUACCAGAUUCACAGGAAACAACUCAAUCAAGAGAUUCACAACUAGCUGAAGAAUCAGCUCAACACUUCCAGACCACAAUACAGAAAAUUACAGAACCCAGCCAAGUUACAGAGCAACACAUCCCUGAUUCCACAACAUUCACUAUCAAAAACUUCUCCAAAGCAGCAGAAGAACCGUCUUCAAUUCCCAUAAAUGAACAAAUCGACCACCUCACUGCUAAUGGCAUAAAUAAAUCUACAGCUAUGGCGUCCUUCCCCACUCACUCAGCAUUACCAGAUGCACAGGAAACAACUCAAUCAAGAGAUUCACAACUAGUUGAAGAAUCAACUCAACGACUCCAGACCACAGUACAGAAAAUUCCUUCCAUUCAUGAACAAACCGACCACUUCACGGGUAGUAAUGGUAGAAAAAACUCUACAGCUAUGUUGUCUCUCCCCACUCAAUCAUCAUUACCAGACUCACAGGAAACAACUCAAUCAAGAGAUUCACAACCAGUUGAAGAAUCAACUCAACGACUCCAGACCACAAUACAGAAAAUUAUAGAACCCAGCCAAGUUACAGAGCAACACAUCCCUGAUUCCACAACAUUCACUAUCAAAAACUCCUCCAAAGCAGCAGAAGAACAUUCUUCAAUUACCUUACAUGAACAAAUCGACCACUUCACUGGUAGUAAUGGUACAAAUAACUCUACAGCUAUGGUGGCUCUCCCCACUCAAUCAUCAUUUCCAGACUCACAGGAAACAACUCAAUCAAGAGAUUCACAACCAGUUGAAGAAUCAACUCAACGACUCCAGACCACAAUACAGAAAAUUAUAGAACCCAGCCAAGUUACAGAGCAACACAUCCCUGAUUCCACAACAUUCACUAUCAAAAACUUCUCCAAAGCAGCAGAAGAACCUUCUUCAAUUGCCAUAAAUGAACAAAUCAACAACUUCACUGCUAAUGGCAUAAAUAACUCUACAGCUAUGGCUUCCUUCCCCAAUCACUCAUCAUUACCAGAUGCACAGGAAACAACUCAAUCAGGAGAUUCACAACUAGCUGAAGAAUCAUCUCAACGACUCCAGACCACAAUACAGAAUAUUCCUUCCAUACAUGAACAAAUCGACCACUUCACUGGUAGUAAUGGUACAAAAAACUCUACUGCUAUGGUGUCUCUCCCCACUCAAUCAUCAUUUCCAGACUCACAGGAAACAACUCAAUCAAGAGAUUCACAACUUGCUGAACAAUCAGCUCAACACUUCCAGACCACAAUACAGAAAAUUAUAGAACCCAGCCAAGUGACAGAGCAACACAUCCCUGAUUCCACAACAUUCACUAUCAAAAACUCCUUAAAAGCAGCAGAAGAACCUUCUUCAAUUACCAUACAUGAACAAAUCGACAACUUCACUGCUAAUGGCAUAAAUAAAUCUACAGCUAUGGCUUCCUUCCCCACUCACUCAUCAUUACCAGACGCAAAGGAAACAACUCAAUCAGGAGAUUCACAACUAGCUGAAGAAUCAACUCAACGCUUCCACAGAACUAAACAGAAAAUUCCAGAACCCAUCAUUCGCUCUAUUGGAACAAAUGGUACAAAUUAUUCUACACCUAUAAUGUCUUUUCUCACUGAUCGGCCACCACAAGAGUCACAAAAAAACACCCAGUCAGGUGCACCACAAUUACUUGAACAUUCAACUCAACAUUUCCAGAGCCCCAAGCACAAAAUGACAGAAUCCAGUCAGACAAUUGGACACCUCAUUGCAAUCACGUCCACCCCAAAUCUGGCCACAACAUACAGAAUUCAACAGGAAACUCUACUACAGUCUGCCAUAGACCCACACAUUCCAAAUAAUGACAUACUUGCAUCAACAAUGGAAAACAACAACCUGCAACCAACUCCACUUCCACAAAUAACAAAGGAUGAAUAUCCCAAAAUGACGCCGUUCAUCAAUAGGUUGGUGCAAAGCAUUUCAAAAUUCACUCCACCUGCAAGGACUAAACAAACAACUUUAUUAACAGUCAAUCCUGAAAUCAUAAAAAAUCCUCCACACACUCUUUCUGUAACCUGGCAAAAUGGGAAACCCAACUGGCUUGUGACAGCCACAGCUUGGAGAGUUUCAAAACGUACGCCACCUACAUUCACAUUGAAGCAGCAAAUCAAACACUCCACUUCACUUCUGCUGACUCCAAAAACUAUAAAGAAAAAUACUCAAAAACCAGCAAAUGAUUCAUUAGUAAGCAGAAAAAUGGCUUCCACUUCACCUCUUCCAAUCCUGAUAGAGAAUCAUUUCGUUGACUCAGAAGGACCAGAGGACACUUCUGUGUCAACAGGCAUUAGUCUACAGGAUUCCACAUCAUUCAGAACCUAUCCGAGUAAUGCAAAAACACAAUCACAGAGUACAACAAACAAAUACACAAUCUUUCACAAAAUGAUGUCCCAUACAAGUUUUCCGUUAGUAAAGGACACAUCAACUCAAGCUCCCACAGAUGGAGUGCAAUUGUCUCAAACUAUUCCAGUCUCCACAGAAAAGCUUGUUAUGAUGUUCACUCUAAAUCCAAGACCUUCAGAAAAACAUAUUCAUACCACAUCAAUCGUGAGAAAUGGAUUACUAAAAUCAAGAACACAGGAAAUUCCAUCUUUGAUUUCAACAAUACGGUCCAAUAUCCAUCCCACUGAAACAACAGAGUUUCGUUUGGACCCGACAAAUCAACGACCUACAGCAGAUUCAAUGCCAAAGGAAAAUUAUUCCAAUAAUGAUCUGUUAACCGAGAUGGAAAAACCAACGCAAAGCAUGAGUGGGCGCAAACCAAGUUCGACAACUCGUUCAGCUACAACUAGAUUGCACGUGUCAAAAACACAAACUGUUUCACAAAAACCCAAUGACACGAAAGCCCCCAGAGAGAUUUUUGGAUUACUCUUCAGUUUUGGGUGCCUUGUGUUGCUGAUAAUAGUAAUCUUGCUUUGGGUAGUCUGGAAAAAAUGGCAAGCCCGGCACUGGAGGAACAACAUGUGGGUAGCAGGUUCUCCUCUCCCGGGAACAUAUCAUUCAGUCUUGCAGAACAGCAGUUCAUACACUGCAAUACAGAUGAGGAAUAAGUACAGCCAAAAGAAAAAGCAGGAAAAUAGUGAUGUUUCUGAGACCAUUGCUCUCAAGCAACAACACAAAGACCUUGUAUAUACAUGA